GGGGUUGUGGCUCAGUGGUUGAGAGCUUGCCUACCACGGGGCGAGGCCCUGGGUUCCAUCCCCAACACCACA
Molecule: transfer RNA, 72 nt
Filed under: Marmota monax (woodchuck)
Lineage: Eukaryota; Metazoa; Chordata; Mammalia; Rodentia; Sciuridae
Description: tRNA.Trp
Source: RNAcentral